CCUACGGGAGGCAGCAGUAGGGAAUAUUGGUCAAUGGAGGCAACUCUGAACCAGCCAUGCCGCGUGCAGGAUGAAGGCGUUUGCGUUGUAACGUUUAAAAUACUGCGUAGGUGUACCAAUAGAAUAAGCCACGGCUAACUACGUGCCAGCAGCCGCGGUAAUACGUAGGUGGCAAGCGUUGUCCGGAUUUAUUGGGUUUAAAGGGUGCGUAGGCGGCAAAAUAAGUCAGUGGUGAAAGCCGAUCGCUUAACGAUCGAACUGCCAUUGAUACUGCUUUGCUUGAGUACAGUUGAGGUAGGCGGAAUUGACAGUGUAGCGGUGAAAUGCAUAGAUAUUGUCAAGAACACCAAUUGCGUAGGCAGCUUACUAGUGUUACUGACGCUGAGGCACGAAAGUGCGGGGAUCAAACAGGAUUAGAUACCCUUGUAGUC
Molecule: ribosomal RNA, 431 nt
Filed under: uncultured bacterium
Lineage: Bacteria
Description: partial 16S ribosomal RNA
Rfam family: Bacterial small subunit ribosomal RNA
Source: RNAcentral